This 25-nucleotide non-coding RNA is filed under the name Mus musculus (house mouse). Lineage: Eukaryota; Metazoa; Chordata; Mammalia; Rodentia; Muridae. The record is from RNAcentral.
UAUAUACACGUGCAUAUUCAUAGGC